Long non-coding RNA from Bos indicus x Bos taurus (hybrid cattle), 1324 nucleotides. The record is from Ensembl. NCBI's taxonomy places the organism in Eukaryota, Metazoa, Chordata, Mammalia, Artiodactyla, Bovidae.
AAAAAUAGGAGCUUUGGAAUUCUCUGUAUUAUUAAGACCUUACAUUUUAAGCCUUCAUUUCCACAUGCAUCAUCUUUUUUAAAAAGUCCUCAGACCUUUAAAUUAGGUAGAUGGCCUCAUUUAUAGUCACUUUAAUACAAAUAAGGAGUCUGAGUGACUUGCCAAAUUGUCAAUCAAUAAAUACUAGAGUCAGACUAGAAACCAGACCCCACCACCAUGCUUUCUCUGUUAAGUCCCUGGGAGCCACUGAAGUAACUUGUGCACAGGCUCUUGUAAUGUGGUUCCAGGCUGCAAUGUCCGACUUGAUUUAUUUUUGGGGCAGAAGAUUUAAAUAAACAGAACAGAAAUUUCAAGUCUGGCAGCAGUCCUUAAGGAUACACUGGAGAGAAGAGAUGCUCAGGAAUACCGAGAUCUGGAAUACCAAGAUAAGAACCAAAGAGAUGAAACCAAAUAAAACGUAUUUAUAAAGCUGUGCCUUUAAGAUUAUAAAUAUCCACUUCAUAAGUUCAGCUUGCAUAAAAACUGGACUAAUAGUUCAUAAGAAAUCUACAACUUAAUUAACCACAAGAUUAAUGAAAGUUAAGUGUUAGGUAGCUGCUAAAAACAGAUGUCCUAUUUGGCUGUGUGAUCUGAAAAUGAGUGUCCAGAACAAGAAAGAUGUGACACUGCAUGCUUUUUAUACCACCAAGAAGUGCAUCCAGUUCCAGGUGCUAAACUCUAAAAAUGAUACUCUUCAUAAACUUAAGAAGCAUAAACUAAACUGAGACAACUAGGAUGACGGUGAAGGACUGAAGAAAACCAUGGGAGUUUUACAAGGAAACCUGAAAUCUAACAGGAGAAAAGGAACAGAUUUCCAAGAGCAAGAGACAAGGCAGAAUGAGGGCCAGAGUGAGACUGCAGAGUUUGGCCAAAUGUAGACUAUUUUCUCCCAGUUUUCUGUUUCUAGGAACGAUACCACGUCCUUUAAGAGGUGUCCUAACCAUUAUGUCAGCACAACUGAGCUUCACGUGGAAACCAAACUGCCCUUGGGACCCAAACCCAGAAGGAGAUGAAACAACCUACACUGUGCGCCUGGGAGGAGAAGCCAAAGGCACGUGCAUGGCCUCUGAAUCACAGGGAGACCUGCUUAAAAACAAGACUGUCCUCUCCCAUGUUUUUAAAUAGUCAAUUAGUAGGUGACUGGGAGGAGCUAAGAAAGAGUCUGGAGAGAUAAGAGCCAGGUAAUGAGUCAUCCUACAAGGAUUUGUAUCCAUUGUCAUGCACACGCAGAAUGAUUCAAAGUUGAACAGAAGCCUUUCAAAAAUAAACUUGGAUUCAAUGCGCA